Molecule: ribosomal RNA, 482 nt
Filed under: uncultured bacterium
Lineage: Bacteria
Description: partial 16S ribosomal RNA
Rfam family: Bacterial small subunit ribosomal RNA
Source: RNAcentral
AUUGAACGCUGGCGGCAUGCCUUACACAUGCAAGUCGAACGGUAACGGGCCUUCGGGUGCCGACGAGUGGCGAACGGGUGAGUAAUACAUCGGAACGUGCACGAUCGUGGGGGAUAACGAGGCGAAAGCUUUGCUAAUACCGCAUACGAUCUACGGAUGAAAGCAGGGGACCGAAAGGCCUUGCGCGGACGGAGCGGCCGAUGGCAGAUUAGGUGGUUGGUGGGAUAAAAGCUUACCAAGCCGACGAGCUGUAGCUGGUCUGAGAGGAGGAUCAGCCACACUGGGACUGGGACACGGCCAAGACUCCUACGGGAGGCAGCGGUGGGGAAUUUUGGACAAUGGGCGCAAUCCUGAUCCAGCCAUGCCGCGUGCAGGAUGAAGGCCUUCGGGUUGUAAACUGCUUUUGUACGGAACGAAAAGCCUUCUUUUAAUACAGGAGGGUCAUGACGGUACCGUAAGAAUAAGCACCGGCUAACUACGUG